GACCUCUCCAUCCCUCGGUUUCCUCAUCUAUGAAAUGGGCAUUAUUAUUUAUGGUACCCAUAAAUGUGGAGAUUACAUAUUCAUAUACUUGGCUUAGAAUUUAGUUUAUCUAGUGCCUAGAACAAUAGCUGGCUUAAAGAGAUCAGAUGGUAUUAUCAUUAUGACCCUGGAAAUGAAGGCUUGGAUUGUAUUUAAGUUGGAUCCAUUCCAGUGAUGACAGCUGUGCUAACGUCACCUCUCUGGUGGCUUUGUCCCCAAGAUUCGAGAUUACGGUGAGCCCUUUCAGGAAGCAAUGUGGUUGGACCUGGUUAAGGAAAGGCUGAUUACGGAAAUGUACACGGUGGCAUGGUUUGUGCGAGACAUGCGCCUGAUGUUUCGCAACCAUAAAACAUUUUACAAGGCUUCUGACUUUGGCCAGGUAGGACUUGACUUAGAGGCAGAAUUUGAAAAAGAUCUCAAAGACGUGCUCGGUUUUCAUGAAGCCAAUGACGGCGGUUUCUGGACUCUUCCUUGACCCUGUUCUGUAAAGACUGAAGCAUCCCCACCUCAGGAUUCAGCUGAUGGGACCCUGGCUUGGACUGUUGAUUGCCAGUGAGUCUGGGAUGUAAUUGGCUGCCCUCAGGACCCAACUCCAGACACUUCAUAGGAUUAUCACACCCUCCAUCUUUAUUCUUUCUUUUUACCUUUAAAAGUC
RNAcentral lists this long non-coding RNA (694 nucleotides) under Pan troglodytes (chimpanzee). RNAcentral describes it as "long non-coding RNA NONPTRT011172". The record is from RNAcentral. Lineage: Eukaryota; Metazoa; Chordata; Mammalia; Primates; Hominidae.